ACCGACUGUUAAUUGUUAGCCUGCAUCACAAAUACAAUCUUUGCUGAAGGCUUAAUGUUUCAUUUGAGUAUAUGAGGCUACUCUCAUUGCAAUAAUUAGGAUUUUUUUUUCUUUUCUUUUAGUUAAUUAGAAAAAAUGGUGUAGAAGAAGAAAUAGAAAUGGGCCCAAUAGCUUGCUCCAUUCCUAAGCAGGUGUAGAGGCCUAAACCCAAACAAACCCUAGCCUAGGAAAUCAACCUGCAGGAGAAAUGAACAAAGGAAAGCAUCGCCGUACAUGAUAGAGGAAGAAUGCCACCAACCAAAUCAUCCUUGCAGAGACAUCAAGGUUGCCCCAGUGACAUGCAGGCCAGAAGGACCCAAGAGCAAACGAAGCAGAAAACUAAUAACCCAUGGGUAUUGCAGACAAAGAAGACAAACACCGGUCAAUAGAGGGGUGGAAAGUGGCAUACUCUUCGGUAUCUCACUCAUGCCUUCCGGGUUAGGCUGAUCUGCAUCACACCCUACGAGUGACCACCCUCCAUAACUCGUCAACCUUCCCCUCAGUAACCCAAUGCUAUAGCAAUCAAACAGAACGAGACCAAGAACAAACAUCAGACCUGCAGAUCAAGAAACCCUCAAAUCUGCAGCAAAACCAAACGCAAUUAUUUAUGCACAAACCAUCUCUCCCGAAGGUGAGGAGGGAGACCCACUUCUGGGACAGGAGACGGAGACCCCCCCUGAGUCGCGAAAUCAGCAAAGAUGGAGGCCUACGAGCCUCAGAGAACCGAAGGACCACUUGUCAGUCUGAACAUGCAUAUGUUAUUAUUAUGUCAAAAUCAUUGCUAUAAAGCUUAAAUGCUUGAAUGAAGCACUAUAGGAAGGAGACAUGAACAAAAAUUAUUAUAACCAAAAUUUAUAACUCAAGUGACUUGUAUAAAAUAUGAGUUAGGUACUUAAAGAUCAGUAUAAAAUCUUAAGUUCAAAUUUUAUUUUUGUUUUUGUAAGAAGUACCCACAUCUAGAUACUAUAUCGUUGUGUGAUGUAUUGUAUGCAUUAAAAGAAGUGUGAUGGACUUUGAGUUUAAUAUAUUUUCACUCAAAUCCUUAACAUUGUUCUUGAAUUUUUAAGAUAGAGUUAGACCACUUGGUAAAUCUUAAUUACAUGGGUUUGAUUAUUUUUGGACAUAAAUUAGGUCUCUGCCUCUGCCGCUCUGUACCGCCCUUACACCCAAGCCUCUGGCAACCCUCCACUACCUCUCUCUGUCCUCUCUGCAACUCCAAAUGUCAUUGCUUUUCUUGUAUCACAAUCCUGAAUCAGGCUUUUAUCGACAAUGUUCAGAUCCUCUUCUCUGUUCCUUUAUCAUUUCUCUCGUUUCCCAUGUCGUAUUCUUUGCUGCAUUUCUUACUCUCUCUUCUCAAUGCAAAAUCUGGUCUUCUUUAGAUUUCAUUUUAAACUUUGUAGUUUAAACGAACCCAAAUUGACAUUUAGCCUUGAACCCAAAUUGACAUUUUAAACUUUAGAUUUCAUUCCUGGUUCUUCUUUAGCCUUGAAGAAAUGAUGUGGGCAAGUGUAACACGAAAAGUUCUCACUGGCAGCUGUUCUGCUUCUUUGAUCAGUAGUUUUAGAACAAUCAUUGCUAGGUACUCAAUCUAAUUUGGUACCAUCAUCACGAUCUUACUUUAUCGCCUUGAAGGAGAUACUGCCACUUGAAAGAAGAUCAAACAGCUCACAAAAUGUUGAUUCCCAUGGUUAUCUAAGAUUUCCAUGGUUUCUUUGAAUUUCAUGUGUUUACAGGAUUUCCAAUUGGUUCAAGUCCUGUAAGGGCAUUUUCUUCAGAUAGGCUUAAAAUAUCUGUUUCGCUUUCAAAAUCUUCAGCAACAGAAUCUCAAGUGCCUUCUAAUGAAGGGGAAAGAAGAGGAAGUGUCAUCAACUUGGCUAUUCUAUUCUUUUCUAAAAUGAAAUUCCUUUUGAGUGGUCUGAUUGAAGGUCUUGAGGGGUUGAGGGUGUAAAACUUAUUGUUCUUGUUCUUACUUUUCUUCCUCUACCUAUUAUCUAAAAGGAAUCCUGCUAAUGCUACUUUCAAAUUUGCCACUUGUGUUAUUGCAGGUAAAAAGGCAUAUUGCAACAAGACUUCCUUUCAUCGAUGCAUUCUUGUUGAAGCUGAAGAAGGAAAAAGAUCUACUUGCUAACAAGAAAAUUUGGUCUCGUAGAUCUGUUUUUAUACCAGAAUUUGUGGGUUACACGGUACGAAUUUGCAAUGGAAGAACAUUUGUUCGUUGUAAGAUCACAGAAGCAAAGGUCGGUCAUAAAUUUGGAGAGUUUGCUUACACACGACAGCGAAGACUCCUUAGAGUAAGUACUGCAACUGGAAAAAAGAAGGGGAAAAAAUAGGCUGAAGUAAAAAUGGGACAAAAAGAAAUCUGAGUUUUUUAGGACUUUCUUAUGAACUACAUCAAAUUUGAUAGCUGAUAAUGAUCAUGAAAGUCACAAAUCUUCAUGUGUUAUCUCCUUAGACUCUUCAAAUUUAGAAAUAACUCUACAAAACUUGAAUUGACUAUCUUUUCCUUUCAUUAUCUGAACCAUCUUGUACUAGUUUUUUGUUAUUGUAAUUCAUAAGCGGAUGUAAAUUUUCUUAGUAGGACCUAUGAGGAUGUAAAUACCAUUCUCCUUAGCUCAAUAAGAAAGCUUAUUCUCUGGAUAAAGAGUA
Long non-coding RNA from Hevea brasiliensis (rubber tree), 2685 nucleotides. RefSeq lists it as uncharacterized. The record is from RefSeq and is a predicted model, not a curated record. The transcript is spliced from 5 exons. Lineage: Eukaryota; Viridiplantae; Streptophyta; Magnoliopsida; Malpighiales; Euphorbiaceae.